RNAcentral lists this ribosomal RNA (468 nucleotides) under uncultured bacterium. RNAcentral's name for it is "partial 16S ribosomal RNA". It matches the Rfam family "Bacterial small subunit ribosomal RNA", at positions 28 to 507 of the family's 1533-position model. The record is from RNAcentral.
GACGAACGCUGGCGGCGUGCUUAACACAUGCAAGUCGAACGGAAAGGCCCUGCUUUUGUGGGGUGCUCGAGUGGCGAACGGGUGAGUAACACGUGAGUAACCUGCCCUUGACUUUGGGAUAACUUCAGGAAACUGGGGCUAAUACCGGAUAGGAGCUCCUGCUGCAUGGUGGGGGUUGGAAAGUUUCGGCGGUUGGGGAUGGACCCGCGGCUUAUCAGCUUGUUGGUGGGGUAGUGGCUUACCAAGGCUUUGACGGGUAGCCGGCCUGAGAGGGUGACCGGCCACAUUGGGACUGAGAUACGGCCCAGACUCCUACGGGAGGCAGCAGUGGGGAAUAUUGCACAAUGGGCGGAAGCCCGAUGCAGCAACGCCGCGUGCGGGAUGACGGCCUUCGGGUUGUAAACCGCUUUCGCCUGUGACGAAGCGUGAGUGACGGUAAUGGGUAAAGAAGCACCGGCUAACUACGUG